RNAcentral lists this long non-coding RNA (279 nucleotides) under Gossypium barbadense (sea-island cotton). RNAcentral describes it as "long non-coding RNA (GBAR_LNC001467)". Lineage: Eukaryota; Viridiplantae; Streptophyta; Magnoliopsida; Malvales; Malvaceae. The record is from RNAcentral.
GCGAAUAGCAUAGGCUCGUGCAGGUGCUCUGGCCUCUGACCUCACAGCAGAAUCUUUAGUCGUUCUCUAGCUACGACUCACAUUUCUCGUGUUUCUGGGUGGUCUACCUCUAACUGUAGUGUUACUUGGCCUCAUGUUUUGUAUUGUAUCUUGCUCAGCCAACUCUGGACAGUUACGAAUGAAACGAUCUAAUGAUCCACAUUUAAAACAGGUCUGAUCAUUCAAUCUAUAAUCACCGAUAUGCUAUUUUCCAUAAUAUCUACAUUCAGGUCAGUUUUG